RNAcentral lists this long non-coding RNA (463 nucleotides) under Actinidia chinensis (golden kiwifruit). RNAcentral describes it as "long non-coding RNA (ACHI_LNC004037)". The record is from RNAcentral. Lineage: Eukaryota; Viridiplantae; Streptophyta; Magnoliopsida; Ericales; Actinidiaceae.
AGAGAUUACCCGAAUUAGAACAAGGAUCGACUCAAAAUCAUUCCAAAUGCUCGAGAAACAUUUUGUUUAUUAUGGCAGGCCUGCGGAUGCCUUUCUGAAGAGCUACAAACAGAGCAAAGUUCAACUUCCAGAGACAAAAUAGCUGCUGCAGUGAGUGCUGCAACGGAAUAGGCCCUCAUGCUGCGAAAACCAAAGGGGUAUUACCGACACAGAAGUUGAGGUCUCAGAAGAUUAUCCAAGGGUUAAAAGACCUUACAGCCAGAUUUGCAGAAGAGAGAAGGGUGAUAGAGAAUUGUUUGAAGGCUAUUUAUAAUCCAUCGGAUCACUUAUCCUGAGGACGCCCGAGGCAGAGGGCAGGAAUUUACAAGAAACCCGCGAGCUUUCUGUUAGAACAAAUUGUUUGAUUCGGCAAAUAUAGAAUUCCAAAGAAUAAUUGCUAUUCAAUUUGCAAUAAAUUGAAAUU